Long non-coding RNA from Homo sapiens (human), 551 nucleotides. The record is from Ensembl. Lineage: Eukaryota; Metazoa; Chordata; Mammalia; Primates; Hominidae.
AAUAGCUACAAAAUGGAAAUAACCCAAAGGCCCUGCAGUGGAGACAAGGAGAAAUGGAACGUGGCACAUCCACACCAGGGAAUAUUAUUUGGUAAUAAAAAGAAAUGAAGUACCUGCUACACGUGGAUGAACCUUGAAAACACCUGCCGAGAAGCCAGCCACAAAGUCCACAUCCUGUAUGAUGACUCCAUUAACAGCCCGAGGUGGUGGGGUCUCACCCACUCCCUGGUGUCUCUCGCCUGAUCCAGGGGAGAGGAGGAGCACGGUGAGGAGAUCUGUGUCUCUUUACAUCACUUUGCCCCCUCGCCCCCAUGCUGCCCAUCCCACCCAGGUCUGUCUGCACAGGGGGACAGAGGCACACACCUCUGGGCGGCCAACACUGGUGGCCACGUGCAGCAGGGGAGGAAAGUGAGGAGAAAGUGUGAUCCAGCGGGGCGGCUGGGGCCAGGCCAGCACUCGGCAAGAUCCCUGUGCCAUGGGGACAAACUGAUUCAUGCUGGGUAUCCGGCAGGUACCUACUUCCCUGUCAGAACAGAGGCCUGGAAAAAGCC